AGCAACAUUCUGACUUGAAACCUCUCUUCUGAUCCAGGAACAACUAUCCUGAGCUGCUGUUCGUGAUUCAGGUUGGCAUCAAUCAAAUUGGAAGCACAUGAAUUAUACAUUAUUGUUUCUGAGCCACAGUUAUCUUCUACAGCACAUCUUUUGAGUAAAGACAUGCAAGUAGUACUGAAACGACUGCAAUGUGAUAAUCAUGGAGACUGGACUGGUUCAACAUCCAGAUGUUUCGAUUUUUUUGAUAAAUCAAUCUCCAAGGUUCAGCUCAUUCACAGUGUGAGGCUACUUACCUGUUCAAAGUACAUCACUUUUGUCCUCCAGUUUUCAUAUUGGCUUCCUGUCAAGAUAAGACAUCAUAAAGAAAAUAACACAACUUUUCUAAAGGUCAGUGGGACAUCACAGAAAAAUGAUGUAUCAAGACCUUCGGUUAAUCAAAUUAAUGAGGCAGGACGAAGAUAGUCCCUGUUAACCGCCUUGUUUGGAAGCAAAAUUCCUUCUAUUAUUACAUGGUAUUAUUGUGAUCAAAAGAUAAUAAAUAUAUGAUUCCAAAC
Long non-coding RNA from Pan paniscus (pygmy chimpanzee), 554 nucleotides. Lineage: Eukaryota; Metazoa; Chordata; Mammalia; Primates; Hominidae. The record is from Ensembl.